UUGACCACACCCCUAAUUACCCCUCCCAUUUCAUAAUUGCCCCCCCAAAAAUUAAAUCCUAGAUCCGCCCCUGGCCUAAUGUGAACUUCAAAUAGACCAAGUAGGCUAGCUUUAAGCUCUAAACCAUCAGUGAAUUGCAAGAAGUAAGUAAGAAGAAGAUUUGCAAGCAAAAAGCACCAAUGUUUAAAUUUUAGUAGUGAUCUAGUGAUCUGACGACUCAUGUCCUCCAAGAUGGUGGAUAGCAACGGUUGCUAUGUUUAUUUAUACAAAAUGGGUGUGUUUGCAAUGGGUCUAUAUGCGUUUUUUGCACUUUGCAGCCCUUAGCACAGCCUAGCCCCUUGUUCCCUUCUUAUUUCUUUUUCUCUGGUGCCCCAUUUGUGAGGAAGGAAGACCAGCAAUGGCUGAGGGGAUAGGAGGAGGUGACAAGACUCGAGCAACGCCAAUGGUACCUCUUACUGGAGGAACACCAAAAAUGAAUCUGCAACAAGCAGUACGUGAUGGUCGUGAAGAGGUGUUGAGACAAUGGCUGGGUCAGCUAACAGAAAA
Long non-coding RNA from Amphimedon queenslandica, 546 nucleotides. RefSeq lists it as uncharacterized. NCBI's taxonomy places the organism in Eukaryota, Metazoa, Porifera, Demospongiae, Haplosclerida, Niphatidae. The transcript has 2 exons. The record is from RefSeq and is a predicted model, not a curated record.